RNAcentral lists this ribosomal RNA (738 nucleotides) under bacterium ocme08sprp674. RNAcentral's name for it is "bacterial SSU rRNA". It matches the Rfam family "Bacterial small subunit ribosomal RNA", at positions 48 to 777 of the family's 1533-position model. The record is from RNAcentral.
GCUACACAUGCAGUCGAGCGGAACGAGAAGUAGCUUGCUACUUCGGCGUCGAGCGGCGGACGGGUGAGUAAUGCCUAGGAAAUUGCCCUGAUGUGGGGGAUAACCAUUGGAAACGAUGGCUAAUACCGCAUAAUGCCUUCGGGCCAAAGAGGGGGACCUUCGGGCCUCUCGCGUCAGGAUAUGCCUAGGUGGGAUUAGCUAGUUGGUGAGGUAAUGGCUCACCAAGGCGACGAUCCCUAGCUGGUCUGAGAGGAUGAUCAGCCACACUGGAACUGAGACACGGUCCAGACUCCUACGGGAGGCAGCAGUGGGGAAUAUUGCACAAUGGGCGCAAGCCUGAUGCAGCCAUGCCGCGUGUAUGAAGAAGGCCUUCGGGUUGUAAAGUACUUUCAGCAGUGAGGAAGGGGUGUACGUUAAUAGCGUGCAUCCUUGACGUUAGCUGCAGAAGAAGCACCGGCUAACUCCGUGCCAGCAGCCGCGGUAAUACGGAGGGUGCGAGCGUUAAUCGGAAUUACUGGGCGUAAAGCGCAUGCAGGUGGUUCGUUAAGUCAGAUGUGAAAGCCCGGGGCUCAACCUCGGAACUGCAUUUGAAACUGGCGGGCUAGAGUACUGUAGAGGGGGGUAGAAUUUCAGGUGUAGCGGUGAAAUGCGUAGAGAUCUGAAGGAAUACCAGUGGCGAAGGCGGCCCCCUGGACAGAUACUGACACUCAGAUGCGAAAGCGUGGGGAGCAAACAGGA